UAGACAUCUAAAUGUAGAGACCGAGAAGGCAUCCGUCUCCUAUCCCGACCAGUGGUGUUGUGUGACAGAACAACACGUCGCUUUGACCGCACCAUGUUUGUUUUUCUCCGGGUCUUGGCCUGUCUCUCCUGCCGGGCCAACAACCUCAGCAGCAUGCCAGGAGCCCACCUUCUGUCUGGACCACUUGGCUCCUCCACAAUUGGAACAACAGAGCCAACCAGAGGAAAUGACAGGCGGAUCACAAGAGGGCUCCCUCACUCCCCCUCUCACUGCCUGCUGGGGGUGGAAAAAGGAUGUGUCUGUGCGUGUGAUGGGACACUAGCUUUCACUUAUGAAAACUCAACACCAAAGUUUGAUCUAGUGGAGGUUCAGUGCUUCGAUCCCACCCCCUGCAGUCAACAUGUCAAAGUGUCCUUGGGCAAGAUAUCCUGAAUUGGUCCCGUAAGCAUGUCUACGGCUUAUAAGGGUGAGACGUUUUUGGAUCAAAGGUCAAAUAGUAUGUAUUGUAAUAUCUCAUAUUAGAUACUCAGGCAACCAGGCUACUUUUUUUUUUAAAGUUCAAAGGUAUUCAAAUUAUGUUACAAGCAAAUCAAUGCAAUCUUUAGAGCCAGGAUGAUAUUCAGAAGAAGUCCUUUACAUCCAAUUUAUGGGUGUGGAAGUAUGAUUUUUUUGGGUCCACAGAGCAAUAAAA
Notothenia coriiceps (black rockcod) is the source of this 691-nucleotide long non-coding RNA. RefSeq lists it as uncharacterized. The transcript has 3 exons. NCBI's taxonomy places the organism in Eukaryota, Metazoa, Chordata, Actinopteri, Perciformes, Nototheniidae. The record is from RefSeq and is a predicted model, not a curated record.